RNAcentral lists this ribosomal RNA (468 nucleotides) under uncultured bacterium. RNAcentral's name for it is "partial 16S ribosomal RNA". It matches the Rfam family "Bacterial small subunit ribosomal RNA", at positions 28 to 507 of the family's 1533-position model. The record is from RNAcentral.
GACGAACGCUGGCGGCGUGCUUAACACAUGCAAGUCGAACGGAAAGGCCCUGCUUUUGUGGGGUGCUCGAGUGGCGAACGGGUGAGUAACACGUGAGUAACCUGCCCUUGACUUUGGGAUAACUUCAGGAAACUGGGGCUAAUACCGGAUAGGAGCUCCUGCUGCAUGGUGGGGGUUGGAAAGUUUCGGCUGUUGGGGAUGGACUCGCGGCUUAUCAGCUUGUUGGUGGGGUAGUGGCUUACCAAGGCUUUGACGGGUAGCCGGCCUGAGAGGGUGACCGGCCACAUUGGGACUGAGAUACGGCCCAGACUCCUACGGUAGGCAGCAGUGGGGAAUAUUGCACAAUGGGCGGAAGCCUGAUGCAGCAGCGCCGCGUGCGGGAUGACGGCCUUCGGGUUGUAAACCGCUUUCGCCUGUGACGAAGCGUGAGUGACGGUAAUGGGUAAAGAAGCACCGGCUAACUACGUG